RNAcentral lists this unclassified non-coding RNA (1153 nucleotides) under Bombus terrestris (buff-tailed bumblebee). RNAcentral's name for it is "misc RNA ENSBTSG00005024325.1". Lineage: Eukaryota; Metazoa; Arthropoda; Insecta; Hymenoptera; Apidae. The record is from RNAcentral.
GUAACAGCUAGUUUUUCUAUAAUUCCUCACAAGAUCGAAGUCGAACUUAGUUGCGUUUCUUUCUAGCUCUUCGUGACUUCUUUCUCGCCACAGUUGUUAACCUUUUGAUGAACCGCGUAACAAGUGUCUGAAUGAUUGAUCGCUUUCUUGGUUCCUUCAAACGUUCUUCAAGAUCGAGAUUACUUUUCUUUUGAACAAGGAGGUAUUCGAUGGUCUAUCAAUAAAAAUUUUAGGUGGAUCCGUUUCGUCGGAUGAAGAAAACUGGAGCUGGUUAUUCUUUCAGCAGUCGAAGAAAGAGAAAGGGAGAGGGAGAGGGAUAAAAAGGAACCCUUCUGGCGCCCGAACGGAAAUUCCUUUCCGGCGAUUCUUUAUCAAGGGACGUGAUUCAAGCCAGCAAUUGAAUUUUUCACUGGGACCGUCCGUUCCGUGUGCAGGAGAGAUUGUUUUCCCGUAAGAUCCUCUGCUCCACGCUGCGGGUAUUCUAAAUGAGAAAGUCGCCCCCUCUCCGCUUCUUUGCCGCUUAAUUGUCAAUUAAGUGUGCUCGCAUAUACGUGUCUGAAAGUUUCCAACCCUCUGACCACCGUCAGUUUCCAGUUAACUUAGAAACGUUGUAAUUUGCAUGUAAGAGUGAAGCGUGGCGUUGCCGUUGUUUUCCCGCGUAUGUUUCCCUCCAAGCUGCUUUGAAUAGUAAAGGGAGAUCCUUCUAAAGUUAACGGUCCCUUAGUAUCCUCUUUUUUCAUGAAUAUUCUCGCGCUGCUUUUCAUGUCAUAUCCUUGAAUCCUUCACUCUCCUCCCUCGAUCCCCUUCCUUUUUCCUUUUCUUUCCUCUACCUUUCUAUCUUUUAACGACCACUUAGCUACACGAAGCGUUCUUUACCAAGCACGAGGUUAAAAUCCCAAAGAGCUAUUAAGAUUCUCUUUUCGAAUUAAAAUUUGAACGUGCCCGUUACGACAACGCGAAGCUUCCGGCGCAUAGUAAUCGCAUUAAUUGGACCACGUUCGUUCCGGUGAAAAUCGUAAAAAGCUUAACAAACGCCUCUUUCUCUUUCUCUCUUUCUUUCUCUCUUUCUCUCUCCGUUUAUCCGAUACACUUCUUGCAUCAGAGAGGUGCCACGAGUGGCAAUAAGUACAGACUCGCAGAUAAGCUAAGGACU